Molecule: long non-coding RNA, 710 nt
Organism: Bombyx mori (domestic silkworm)
Lineage: Eukaryota; Metazoa; Arthropoda; Insecta; Lepidoptera; Bombycidae
Exons: 2
Source: RefSeq, a predicted model, not a curated record
AGUUACGAACCUAAAAUUUGGUACAAAACUAAAACCUUCUUACGCUCCAAAAAGCGUCUCGAAUUUGACACACUUCGGAAUUGACAUAUCUGACAGUUCAAAAAUGCACUAAAACCAAAAAAGAAAUGUAACGCUACAAUAAAACCCCAAAACCAUUUCCUGACAAUGUCAAUAAUGUCGAAAUAUGCCAGAUUUCCUUAACAGACAUUGGAAGAGAAGUAACAAAGUGGUGACACGUAAAAGACAGUUGAGGAAAUGUUUGCAGCUACGGUCGCCUUGCAGGCAAGAGGAGUGGUCCCCGAUCGAAAUCCAGUUCUGUAACAUCGUGGCUUGGACUGGGGCAAUAGUGAUCACCGUAGUGAUCCUGAGGUCCUUAUAUUUGCUUUACAUGAAGCCGGAAGGUACAUGAACAGAAUCCAGAAUAAAAAACAUGUUUAAAUUUCGAAAACUCAACACAAAGCUUCUAAAUGUUUAAUCAAAAAAAAAAGGGUAAACUUUCUCGUUUGAAACGAUCGAUGUACAUGAAAAAUUCAAGAUACCGUCUCGACUCUUAUCAAGUGGAAUUAAGGUACAUAUUGGUAUGGUCCGUGUUAUUAUUCGUAGCCCUUCUGGGUCUAAGGGCUUUGUAUCUGAAAUACAAUGUUGAGGACAACGAGAAUAGGUUUCCUGUAUGCUUGCACGAGUUUAGUUGAAUAAACAAUUUAAAGAUU